UUUCCGUAGGUGAACCUGCGGAAGGAUCAUUAUUGUAUAACCGAGGUGCGAGGGCUGUCGCUGACCCGAAAGGUCAUGCACGCCCGAGUGCCCUCACACACAUCCAUCUCACCCCUAUGUGCACCACCGCGUGGGUCCCCCUUUGGCUUGUUCGGAGGGGGGCUUACGUUUUCACACAAACUUUGUAUGCAGUGUAGAAUGUAUUUUUGUUUUUGCGAUCACGCAAUCAAUACAACUUUCAACAACGGAUCUCUUGGCUCUC
RNAcentral lists this unclassified non-coding RNA (262 nucleotides) under plant metagenome. Its description in RNAcentral is "partial contains small subunit ribosomal RNA, internal transcribed spacer 1, and 5.8S ribosomal RNA". The record is from RNAcentral.